AUGGAAAUUUCUCCUGCCAAACAUCUUGGGAGAAGCUGCGAAAGUAUCCCUACCAGAAGUCUCUCCCUGUGGAGAAUGAAAUUAGGUCUUAUCUAUCUUGUCUACAAGUUUAAAGACUAUGGGACUUUCCUGGCCCAAUUCUGCCUUUAAGAAGACCCUUUCUUCUAUACAUCUUUCAAGAUGACAAGGAAAAAUCAUCUAACCUGAAGCAUCCAUACCUACUUUAUUUAAGGCAAGGUCUGAGGAUGUGAAAUCUGCACUAAUUUAAUGACUACGAGGUACUCAGGAAGUAUUGAGGACAGGAGCACAGAGGUGAGUAUAAACUCAACAACCUUAAUGUGUGAGUGAGUGAGUGAGCGUAAAUUCCACAACUAUUCCUAUCUGAGAUUCCUAUAGACCUCAAUAAUUAUUUCUCUCUCAAAAACUGAAACUCCAUUCAUCUUAAAGACUGCACAUCUAGCUUAAUGACAAAGUCAUAUUUUUCCUUGCACAUAUUAAAACAAAGUAGGCAAUAUUUCCUGACUGUACAGUAUCAAAACAGGUAAAGAAAUUGUUAAUUUUAUAUUUCAGUAAAGUUGUUUUUAAAAAUUUUCUAAUUUCACUAUUGAUAUGGUUUGGCUGUGUUCCCACCCAAAUCUCACCUUGAACUGUAAUAAUCUCCAUGUGUCAAGGGCAAGGCCAGGUGGAGAUCAUUGAAUCAUGGGGGACGGACUCCCCCUUACUGAUCUCAUGGUAGUAUGUCUCAUGAGAUCUGAUGAUUUUAUAAAUUGGAGUUCUCCUGCAAAUGCUGUCUUCCCUGCUGCCAUGUAAGACAUGACUUUGCUUCUCCUUUUCCUUCUGCCACGGUUGUGAGGCCUCCCCAGCCAUUUGGAACUGUGAGUCAAUUAAACCUCUUUCCUUUAUGAAUUACCCAGUCUUGGGUAAGUCUUUGUCAGAAGCAUGAGAACAGACUAAUACAACUAUUAAUUUGAUACAUUUCCAAUAUAUUAGAAAGUAAUAUAAACUUCCUAAUUUUAUGCUUAAUCUCUUAUAUUUUCUCAGUUUCCAAGUAUUUCAGAAACAUUUCAACAAGUUCCAGUAGCUAAUCUACACUGAGCUAUGCACUGUCUCUCAGAAACUCUGCUGUUAGUGAAGAAUAUUAUAACGAAAUAUUAAACAAUUAGAAGGUAAAUGCCAAGUAGAAAUUAAGUUUAUUUUAGUCAGUCACUAUCCUAGGGUAAUAUCUGUAAUGUUAUGAGAUAUUUAAUCACAACUAUGUAAAAUCAUAUACAGCUGGAAUUUUAAAAACUAGGUUUUGCCUAUUACUCCUAUUCUCAGUUAGUAAAAGAACUAGUUAACUUAGCUAAUUAUAGAAAAGUUUUCAUACAGCACUUAAAAAUUAAUAAAAUUAAUUCAUGGUGACAUCACCACGAAUUUACUCAGAUGACAUAAGCAUCAGACUUGACCACUAUAAAAACAUAAUUAGAGUCAAUGCAUAACUUCACAACAGAGAUGCGUUCUGAGAGAUGCGUCAUUAGUGAUUUCAUUGAGUGAACAUCGUAGAGGGUACUUACACACAUCUACAUGAUAUAGCCUACUGUAAACCCAGGCUAUACAGUAGAGCAUAUUACACACCUAAGCUAUAUCACUCCGAGACUAAAAACCUGUACAGCAUGUUACUGUGCUGAAUACUGUAGGCAAUUAUAACACAAAGGCAAAUAUUUUUGUAUCUAAACAUAUCUACACUAGAAAAGCUACAGUAAACAUUUGGUAUUACCAAGUUAUGGGAAGACCAUGAUAUAUGUGGCUCAUCAUUGACUGAAAUUCCAUGUGGCACAUGACUAUUGUUAUUUUGCUUACAGAAAAAUGAUUUACAGGCAGGAGAUAUGCUUGAUCAUCUUCAUUUCCUCUGCUCUCCAUCUUUAAUGGAGAAUCUUUAUCUUUUAUGAAGUUGCACAGUUUCCUUCAUCAGUAGAAUCUAAGCAAACGAUAAAAACCACUUCAGACUGCAAUAGAGAAUGCUGUCUGUGAACGAAGUGCUCUUCAGAACUCAGGAAUUUCAAUAUUAAUAAGACAAACGCGUAGGACUAUUUACACUGACUAGAGGAGGUUAGUGAGCAUGUUCUGCUAAACAAAGUGAGACAGAAUAAAUACUUUAAUUCAAUAUAUUGCCCUAAUAAUUCUUCAGUGAUAUUGUUACCAACAUAGGGCACUAAGGACCCGGUAAAUGGUAAGCCUUCUUUUAUGACAUCAUGGAGCACAUUAUGAGGUUACAAUGGAGUUGUAAUCGUUUUAACCUCAUAUUAACACCAUAUACUUAAUCUCUAAAUGAGUUCCUAAUUGACACCUUUGAUGUGAUCCUUAUUUUAGAAAUGUAGGAAACAUUCCAUGCUACAAAUUGAAAUAGUGAUAUACUUCUGAAUUAAAGAAAACUGCUCUUUACAAUAU
Macaca mulatta (Rhesus monkey) is the source of this 2427-nucleotide long non-coding RNA. NCBI's taxonomy places the organism in Eukaryota, Metazoa, Chordata, Mammalia, Primates, Cercopithecidae. The record is from Ensembl.